CAGACUGAAGACAAUCAAGUUCUGUUGUCAAGCCACAGAGGAGAGACUCAUCUUGGGGAAGAAUGUAUUACUUCUGCGCUGAAAGUGUCUGACUCCUGAUAGACGCACUAUUUGCACCCGGUUUCACACCCGAAUCCAGAAUGCCAUAUGGGUUCCUAUCAGCCCCACGCUGAACCUUGGCAAACUGCUCAAUGAGCCCAAGGCAUGCAGAAAAACCAAGGGUGACUCUUGUGUCAUUUCACCACACGUUGCUGCAUGAGUUGGGCAAAACAAGAAUGUUCAGCACUGCGAAAUCUUGACUUGCGGACAUCUUCAUCCAUUUGUACAUGCAACAACAUAUCCUUAGACAGAAGAUCUGACCUUCCUAAAUGCGGUGCAUAUCAGGAUCAACUGGCAUUUCCCAUACUUCUCUGGAGACAUUUUUGGAUAAGUGUUUCAGCUUCAUCUGCGUACAGAGACAUAUCUUUUUUUGGCUUACUGCAAACAGAGGAUUCAGAACAGUCACGUCUACAAAUUAUUUAACUUUCAAAUGCUCAUUAAAUCUUCAGCUCCUUCUGCAGGCUGUGCAAGUGCUAUGUAACAAAUUAUGGAAGUUAGGUAGGAGGCAGAAUAGGAUAAAAAUCGCUUAUCCUUCACGCCAUUAUCCCGGAUGAUGUAUCGCUGUCUGGCGUGUACUGUCCCUUGUAUGAAGUAGUCUGUGCAACGCACCCAGACUGCUCUAGCAUGUAAUGGCAGCACAUGAUUAAGUGCUCAAGAAAGCUCGACCAGCAGAAAGGGUAGGCAAAGCUAGCAAGGAGCCGUCAUCCAGCUUCAGAAGUUUUGUUUGCACCAGAGGAGUCUGAAAGGAGGUUGAUAUCUUAAUAUGUUUAUGUGGCUCACCUGCUAAAGGCAACGUGAAUUAGUGCAAUGUCUGAUUUAAGCCACAAUUUUUCACUGUCUAAAUCUUUUUUUUAUUCCUGCUGCAUAGUUUGAGCAAGAAAAGUGAGUGAAAAAUUACUGUCAUAAAAGACUCAUCUGCUUUCCAUUAUACUGACAUUUAAGAAUUGCGCACAUUAAAAUGCUCCUAUGUGCCACAGAGAGUGACAGAAAAAAACAGAAGGUUAAAAUUUACAACAAAUGGGAGAUUUUGUAAUUCAGCCUCCUUGGGAGGUGGGAGUGGAAAUGGCGACUGCGCAACUAAAAUGAUCUCACUUCACCUAAUCCUUUUCAUCCCUGCUUACAUCUGCAUGUCAAGGAGUUAAAUUGCCAGUGCAUAGAAAAAUGUUUUCUUAAAACAUCCUUUACCCUCUGCCUCUUUCAGAUAAAAAAGUAAUAUUGAUAUUUUUCAGCCAAAGGUCAAUGUGUUGUGCUCCCUAUGGGCAGAACUCUGUAAAGUCAGUGAUUUAAUAUGAUUUGUUUUAUCAGGAGUUUUGGUCUGUACUGGAAGGCAACUGUUCAGAAACUUUUUCUCUGAAUUAGGAAAACCAAUUCCUCUUCCGCUGCGGGGCAGCUUCCAGCUGCUGGUACCUUUUGGUGUCUCACAAAAUGAGGAGAAGUGUUUUUUGUGGCUGAGAAACAGUUCUGUCUCCCUCUACAUGGGAGAGCUAUGAGGUUGUGUCUUCUGAUAUAGGAGCAUCAGCGACAGCGUGAAAUGCUGCCGUCCAAACCUGCCGACGUGAUCUGCCGAAUCGCGGCGAGCGCGAGGGGCGCUGGGCAGUGCGUAGUCCCAAACAGGGCAUCGCGCUGCAUUGUCACCGAGAGCACCAUAUUUGUUGCUUGUACAGAAAAGCUGGCUUUUGGGGAGUGUCAAGCACCGUCUCUAUAAUUAGGUCCCUUCCCAGAUAUCUUCAGGUCAGCCCACAAAACCGCAAGGGAAGUUUGAAAAUCUUGUUUUUAAAAUAAGGUUUCAUACCUGUCUUGGUGUUUGAACCACAGAGCACAAGCCCAGACCUGAGAGUUUUGAUUGCAAAUCUGAACGAUUUUCCUUCAGAUCUGUCUCUCAAAGUUCCAAAUCUUCAGAAAAAAACAAAACAUGUUCUUAAAAAAAAAGAUAAUUGUGGUCAUAACGCUGCGUGUAAAAGCAGAAACACCAGGCUCUCACUGUUAUUCUGCAGUUGCCACUUCUAUGUCAAAUUUAUUCAGAUUACAAGUCAAAACCAGUUUUUUUCCAUCUCUAUGACUCGCUGCUCAGUCUGGUACUUGCAAAUCCAGCUGCAUUAGCUCUGUUUCGCGUAACACCCCUGCCGACCGUGCGCCACGACGGAGCGGGGGCCUGGCUUUGGCGCUGUGGCUGUGUGACAGCGAAGAGCAAUGCUCCCUCCCCUACUAUCAUAUCACUCUUCUUUCUGAACAGAGUAAAAUCUUAGUUUUGGUAGCAAACUAUAUGUUUUGUCUUAAGAGGCAAAUUCUGAAGAGAGAAGCAAACAGGCUUUAUAGGACUCAGCUUGCACUGUUUCUUCUGAUCCUUAGAUAGCUUCAGUAUCAUUCGAACUUUGUAUCAAAACCUGAAAUUCCGUGUUUGGCAGUUUUCUAUCCUCAGGUUGCAAACAGAAUGUAUUUAUUGCUUUAGAGCAAAGAACAGAAUAGCGAAAUAUCCACAUUUGAAUGAAAACAUUCAUUUUCUCUUAGUAAUGGAGCUGUGUGCCUCCAAUUUCCAGCUCCCUCUACUUCUCAGAGCCGAGAAGCCCUACCCGUGCAAGGCACUUUGCAGUGAAGAGACAGGAACCGGCUCUUGGAAUUCAGUCGUUCACCGACCCAUAAAACUCUCAGCGCUGAAGGCUGAGGGGAGCCUAAGUGACUUUGAGUGAUGUACGAUAUAAAACAGGAAUUAGACACAGCUCAGCACAGCAGGAUCAAAUACCACACCCCAGCCUACAUUCCUGUGGGUGAACUUUUUGAGUCUGCAAAUGAUGAUGCCUGAAUUUGUCAGCCCAUGUAAAUGAUGGGUUCAGACACAUACCCCUGAAUUUAUUGCUUCAAAAGCAUUAACUGUGGGUAGGGAGAGGAAGUGGAGGAAGGAAAAGAAGUUGCUCUUGGGGAAUAAAAGUGAAAGGGAAUGAAUGUCUUUGCUGAACCACAAAGCGUCAGGCCUGGUGUCUUGCUGAUGUAUUAACAAUCAAUAGCUGCUUCCUGCCCAUAGCACAUAUUGCUAUAUACUGUUGCCUGUGGCUUUGCCUGUCCUGUUUUCCAAGACUGCACCAGGACACAGGGAGCUGGAGCUGAAAUGAAGCCACAGAAUGAGUUUUGGCAAUCUAGAAGAGGGCAGAUGGCAAACUAUAACUUUCUUUUUCAUAGUUAGAAAAACCCACUGUUGCUUUAAAGAGGCAAUUGCUGCAGCCAUAUGGAUUUCAUGGAAUCAUUUAAUGUCCCCCUCCAUCACGUAGUCCCUAGCUGUACAGUGGAGAGAGGAACCAAAACUCUUCGCAGAAGCAGAAUGCUCCUCUUCAAAAUCCGCAAAUAUCUCACCAUCUAUCCCACCAGGUGCUGCGCGAAUAAACACUUUGAGAACUUUGGCAGGAGAAAUCCUACCAAAAAGGUAGCAGAAAUCAAGACGAAGUUAAAAUACUGGUCUGGGAUGGUGCAGAAAGCUAGGUUCACAUCCCAGUUUUACCACAGACUGCCUGUUCCACUAAGCAUUUACCAUAUGCCCCUGUUUACACCUGCAGGUAGGUUUGCUGGCUUCAGUGGAUCGCUCUGUUUAAUAUUUUAAGCAUAUGCCUAACUUUGAUGUAUCUGGGAUUAAAGAGACUAGAGGUGAAAAUGCCAUUGAAGCAUCUUUCAUUAAUCAUUAUUAACUACCUAAUAAGGCCUCAUAUAUACAUAGAUAAAUUGAGAAAAAUCAGACAGAAAAACACAUUGUGAACUGUGCUACCAAAAAAUCUCCAUUAUUUUUCUAGUUUGGGGAAAGGACAGAUAAAACUUAGUAUGUAGGUUAGUGUUUAAAGAAAUCAAGGGUCCUAAUUCUGAGUUUGGGAGUAACAUCAAUGAAUUAAUGCAGUGAUGCUAGUGUAAACCUGGCGUGGGGUGAGAGGUACAGAUUUAAGGUAUUUCAUGCUUGAAGAAGUAUUCAGUGGAGGAAUUGCUACUUUAACUAUUUGAGAGAGACUGUGCUAAUGGGUUUUGCAGGUUUAAUGAGUUUCUCCAAUGCAAAUGUUCUCAAAAACAUUGUGAAUGCCAAUUUUGCCCAUCUAGAGUACUUCAUCUGCGAGGACUGCAAAAGAAGGUGUCCUGGCUUGGAAUAAAUAACACUGGUUUCCUCCACAGAAAGGCAUUUUUAGUAUUUUAUUUAAGUUUUUAUUCAGUCCUUCAAAGUGAAAAAAUAUUUUUUUCAUAGGAAAACUGUCUUGUGUUAAAAGUUUGCAAAUGCCUGAAUGUUUCACAGUAAGUAAUAGAGGGGGCAUAUUGCUACUGCUAUUUAAGUACUAAUUGCUAAGAGUUAUUGUAGAAAAGUAAAUGAUAAAGGCCAAAUUCUAUUCCAUCUCAUACCAAGCAAGUUUCAUUAAACCUAUAAUCAGAUUUUGACCCAAUAAAAAGAGAGCUCUGCCCAGUGAUUCUAGCCAUAGCUUUUAAGACAGUUGAAUUGGCUCAAUAUUCUGAUUUGACCUGAAACAGGAACCAUGUUCUUUUGAAAUGGAUUUAUUGCAUCCAUUUGAAUCAAUAGUGCUGUUUGAAGAAAAGUGGGAAAGAAAACUGAAAAUACAAUAUGAGGUAAAUCAAUGAAAAAGGGCAGAAAAUUUUAUAGAAAAAAAACUAGGAGGCAAAAUUGACAGUCGGCUUUAAAAUAUUAAUCAGGGACCCAGGUCUGCUGCAGAGAUGCAUAUGUAUUUAAUCAAGGCAGCUGAAAACUUCCUGCAAGAGGCUGAUCACGGUCAAGUCGAGAGGAGACGGCGAGGGGAAGGACAUCUCCUGACAGCUUCUGAAAGCCUUCAAGUGCAUGGGAUGGGAACGGCCUCGCUGCUUAACAUCCCCAUGGAGCACCACGCUGGCGGUCCAGGACCAGCAGCUCACGCUGCAGGGAGCCACGUCCUUUUGGGAGCCCGCGGCAGC
Long non-coding RNA from Dromaius novaehollandiae (emu), 5025 nucleotides. RefSeq lists it as uncharacterized. Lineage: Eukaryota; Metazoa; Chordata; Aves; Casuariiformes; Dromaiidae. The transcript has 4 exons. The record is from RefSeq and is a predicted model, not a curated record.